ACGCCGUUAACUCAAUCGGGAGAGUACCGUUCUUACAAAUCGGAGGUUGGGGGUUCAAAUCCCUCACGGCGUACCA
This 76-nucleotide transfer RNA is filed under the name [Clostridium] innocuum. RNAcentral describes it as "tRNA-Val". It matches the Rfam family "tRNA". Rfam says of the family: Transfer RNA (tRNA) molecules are approximately 80 nucleotides in length. Their secondary structure includes four short double-helical elements and three loops (D, anti-codon, and T loops). The record is from RNAcentral. Lineage: Bacteria; Bacillati; Bacillota; Clostridia; Eubacteriales; Clostridiaceae.